AAAUCUAUGAAGGUCAAUCUGUUUCAAAAAGCACAAACCUGUAGAUCUGUUGCGUGUAUUUGUACUACAUGAUGGGUGCUUGAAAACAGUGUGUGUGUGUGCGUGCAGUACAGUGUGAGGAGCUGUACACCAACACCCGUAAACCUGUAAAGCUAAAUAUGCACCUGUAAGAAACACUCACAUGCAUUUGAAAUAAAAUACAGUUGUGUGUGACAUUUUCAACUACAAGUCUGUAAACACAAGUGUACAGAUCUGUUUCUGCACACGCUCAACUUUUUUAUUACAGUUGCACAGCUUUCCUCUCACACAUCUGAUUUUUGAAACUAUUUUCACGAUUAAUAUGUGUCAAAAUGCACAAGUUUGUAAAUUUGUUGUCUGAUUCCGUACAACACAAUGUGGACUUGAAGAUUGGAUGUGAGUGUGUGUACCGUAAAAGGUGAGCUUGAAGUUUUGAGGUGAGUGUCUGUGCAUUAAAAUGUGCGAAGCUGCACAUCAACAUGUGUGAAAUUGUGAAGAUAAAUGGUACUUGUAAGAAAAAGUAAAUUGUAUGUGAAACAAAAUAAACUUACAUGUAAAAUUUUCUUCUGCGACCCAGUAAAUACAACUUCUCAAAUACGUUUCUGCGCAUGCUCAGUUGUUGUUUUACAAGCGCACAACUCUCCUCUCGCGAGUCUGACUUUUGAAACACUUCUGGCAGGUUGUGUGUUGCAAAUUGCAGCUGUGUGUAUCUGCAGAGGCGAGCGGAGCAGGGGAUGAGGGCGAGGGUGGGGGCGGAAGGAGGAGCCACAGAGGGAGGGUUGUCAUUGGUCGGCUCUGGUUUCCAGGACAACAGGCUCAACCAAUCAGAGUGAGAGCUGCGUUUUUUCCCUCGGCUUUCAGUCCGCUGCCGUCUGCAGUUCGCGAUGGCUGAACGAGCUGGGGCACUGUUUAGACCAGCGGUACUCAGCUGACAGUCUGUGGGCCACGUCCAGCCCGCAGGUUCAUUCUUUGUGGCCCUUGGUCCACCAGGACAGGGAUGCACUGACAUCUGGCCAGGUCAGAUGUCUUAUCUGUUGUAUUCCGAUGCCAGGAAAAGGCAGAUUGCAAUGCUGAGAUGGUUCUGGACCACAUCACCUGGCCGGAUGAAGAAGAGCUGGAGGAUGACAGCGAAUCUCCUCUUGCUGUGAAAUGUUAGAUCACAAGCUACUUGCGUAGAUUUGUUGAGACAGGUAUUUGGCUUUUUUCUGGUUACACUCAAACUACAGCUUUGUUUAUAAAGUGCUUUUCAAACAAAAAAAUGAAACUCAAGUAGCUUCAGAGGAAGAAAAAAAAUGACCCACAGAUUGAAAAGACCUGACAUAUCCCACAAAAUUCAUUGUCAAUUGAAACCCCCUUCCCCGACCCAGUAACACGCAUAUACACACACACACAUACCCACAUGCACACACAACACAUUAGAGAACAUAUGCAAACACUGGGCAGAGCUCAGAUGAGUCAGGAAACGCCAUCAGGCGAGCCGUCUGACCCAACUCCAGUAGAUCCACAGCAGCAGCCAGGGCACCGAGACAGGUCUCACAGAGGAGGGAGGACAAGGGCCCCCACCUACACCCAAGCACUACCUGGAGAGCACCCAGGCCACUGCCGCUGACCACUGGCCCUGAGGCAGAGGGCUCCCACUGAGGAAACGCUGUAAAGUAUUAGAAUAAGUAAAAGAAUGAAAUAAAAAGAGGUAAUGUAUGAAUAAGUAGUGACCAAUAUAAUUGUAGAAAUAGUAAAACAAUAUCAAAUCAUAAAUAUAUAACAAAACUUUCUUAAAAUAUAAGAAAUUUAAUCAUAAAUAAUAAGCAGUUAAAAGCUAAGCUAAAAAAGUUCAUUCUUCGGCCUGCUCUUAACAUUUCUCUCUGGUCCUGAGGUCCUCGGGCAGCCUGCUCCAGAGGCAAGGGCCAUUAUAUUGUAAGGACGCCUGACCAUUGUUGUUUGUCCUGACAUUCGGGAUCACAAGGCGAUGGCUGCAAGAGGAGUGCAGAGGACGUGAGGGUUUGUAUGGUAAAGUCAGUUCAGAAAGGCUAGAAGGGCGAGGACCAUUAUGACACUUUAAAACCAUUACAAAAACCUGAAAAUCAUUGGAAUAAACCUUAAAGUCAUAAUAGGUUUAAACAGUUGUCUUUCACAAAAUGUGUACAAUCAAACUAUUUUAGAAGCCUUAACCCUCCCACUGUCUUCAUGGGUGACCCCACCAGGAAAGACCUCACCCCUGCCACAUGGACCUCAAGGGAUAAACCAUCAACCCUGCUCAGUGGUCAACUUUCCUGGUGGGGUCACCCAUGUAGACAGUGGGAGGGUUAAAAUGAGUAAAGUGUUUUAUAUGACACAGCAGAUAAGGUGGGUUUGCUACAUUCUAAGUAUCUUGUGUAAACAUGGCACAGAAGAUCUUUUAUAUCUCAUUUGUCUUUGCCAUUUUUUCUUUUCUUUUUCAGUGUCUGAAGAGCAAAGGAAGCAGCUCGUGAAGUUUGGGGUUGGAUGGGAGAAACCCAUGAAGGAUAUGAAAGUGGAAAUAAUGCAGGCAGACCAUCCAACCUCAUCUAGCUGCUUCCAUAUUCUAUGUCUGCCCUGCCACUACACAACAUUUGAUGUUUCGCAAUCAUCUUGAAAGUUGCAUAGCAACCAAUGUUCAUGGUUUUGGAUUGAUCUAAAGUUUAACGUCAUGCUAUUUGCCAGUGCUGUUCAGGUUAUACCAAACAAAUCUUUUUUUUAUUUAACCAUCAAGUUACAGCUGAAAGUUUCAGGAAUAUUGAGUUACAAGUAAGGCACAGCUGUGUUAUAUGAUAAAUGUUUUAUUGUAAUUUUACAAGUAGAGAAAUCAUUUUCAAGAUUGCAUUUUAUACAUAUGCAACAAACAAAACGUUGCUGCAUCCAGGGUCAUGACAAUAGAACAAUAUUUUUGUAGCUUAAUGCUAAAUGUUUUUUCCUGUCACUUGCUUAAGUUCAAGAUGUUAUUAAUAAAAUAAUUUUUUAAAAACUUAAAACAUUUUAUUGAAUUCACAAAUGAUUGUAACCUAUAUUAACACGUUAGACUUGCAGGUUUUUAAAUAAAAAAAAACAUCAAAUUGCAACAAAACUUUCAUUAUUCUCACAAAUUUGGGAAUUUCAAUAUCCAAGAGAAUAAGAAAGGGCAGUUAGAUUUUUAGUACACACAAGAAGAUUACUAUAAUUUUAACUUAAGAAGGUUUAAUUCUUUUAGUUUGCCAUCGAAGAAUAUUAACAUGCAAACAUUUUCAAAUGCUCACGAGUCAUUUAAUCUGUACUUUCAAGUUCAGAUGUGGUAAGAGAUAACGGAGAUUAAAAUAACGUGUUCAGUUAGAUAAUGGAGACUUAUGAAGAUCCUUCACAGACAUUUUAUACAAGUCAUUGAUGACAAGAUGCAAAAAAUGAAAGAUUUUAUUAUAGCCAAUGGUUUGCAUGUAAUGCCGUGUGGCUAAAUAACUGUCAAUCCCAAGAUUGACCUCAGUGGAUCCACAGCUGCACAGAGUCCAGAAUAUUCUCCUGGACUUAGCGGGCAUUCAACUUCUGGAACUUGAACACUAGAGUUGUGUUCAAUGUCGAUGAGUCCACUGGAUUCCCAUUCAAUCUGUGGAAUGUAAAGCUCCUGCAAUAAAAUGAUUUUGGGCUAAGCACAGAAUACGUUCUUCUGACCACACAACGGAGAUGGGACAUUCAGGAAACCACGCCUGCAGUGUCUAAUCUGCGCAUAGAGGACCGAACACACUCCCACUGAAGUCUAUAUCCUUGUGACUUCAGCAGACCUUUCAUCAUGGUGACUUGAAAAGCGCUAUAUAAGUUCAAUGCAUUAUUAUUAUUAUCAAUCUAUACCCUGCAUUUUGGUUUCUGGCAUGGAUCUGUGACACUAGAGAGUCUAGCUCAUCGUGAGUCAUGGUGCUGUAAGUUUGGCUCACACUUAAACCCCAUUCUUUCACUUGCCUGUGUAAUGUAACUCUAGAUAUCCCCAGCAGCUGUGCAAUACACGUGACAGGUAAACCUAAAGAAAUGAGGUGUUCUGUGUAUUUCUCAGGAAUAAGUAGUUUGGGACGACCAAUGGCUCCUCUUUCGUGAGCAACAAUAAUUUGUGCUUUUUUAUUUUGACUGCAGGUCUCUGAUAAACUUGGGCAAGUGCAUUUAAAAUGUCCUGAGGGACGUCAAAUGGUUUGAGAUAGCACCCAGAAUAACCAGCUCCUGACAACAUACAAAUUCCAAAAAAUCGAGAUCUAGAGGAACUCGAUCAAGCCAAUUAGAGGAACGGUUGUAAAGUCUUUCAAGCAGAUAGUUGAGCAGCAGUUCCUGAAAAACAAAAAUGAAGGGUUACUAAAAGAGCCAUCAAAUGCAGAUUUUAAAUAUCACAUGUAACAGUUAUUAUUAAUAGGAUCCCCGAGAAAGGAAACAAGAGUUAAAGGUUUCAAAUGAUUACUUUUUAUUGUUUUACUGGUGAUUAAAAAAACUAAUUGUAACUAUCAGGCUGAUAUCUAAAAUGUUUAUUUUUUUAAUCAGAAGUUGGUUAGUUGGUGCUGCCUAAUCGUUGCAGCUUCGGUGGCCAGCAAUUAGUAACUCCCUUAUACAUGUAAUUCAAGCAAUAUACACGCAAUUUAAAAAGUAAAAUGCUCAUUAUACAACUUAUAAGUAUAAUUAUAACUUUGCCGCACGUCAUGUGACCAUCACGGGAGCCCUGGUCACGUGACGCAAGUCAGCUCCAUUUAACUGUUUUCUUUGACCAAGGAAGGACAGUGUCCUCAAAGCCUGACAUUGAGAAACACCCCUGGGAUUAUACCCAAACACAGUGGCCUUAAUGUAAGACUUCAGUGUUAGCAGUGGCGUUUUUUGUUUCUGCUAACUUAGCAAAGCAGCUCAUAUAAACUUUAGCUAGACUACAUAUUUGUACAAAUAUCUUAUAAGGCCUUAAUAAUGGUAUAAAUAGCAUGACGUUAUGUUAGUGUGUCACCUUGUUUAAAUAAAAAGACGAGGAAAUGACUAAAAUAAGUUUAGAAAGUCCUUUGAAAUGUACUUACCCCAGC
Molecule: long non-coding RNA, 5042 nt
Organism: Nothobranchius furzeri (turquoise killifish)
Lineage: Eukaryota; Metazoa; Chordata; Actinopteri; Cyprinodontiformes; Nothobranchiidae
Source: RefSeq, a predicted model, not a curated record